AGGAUGAACGCUGGCGGCGUGCCUAAUACAUGCAAGUCGAGCGGUAAGGCCUCUUCGGAGGUACACGAGCGGCGGACGGCUGAGUAACACGUAGGAACGUACCCCAAAGUGAGGCAUAAGCACCAGAAAUGGUGUCUAAUACCGCAUGUGGCCUUAGGGCUAAAGCUCCGGCGCUUUGGGAACGGCCUGCGCAUGAUUAGCUUGUUGGUGAGGUAAUGGCUCACCAAGGCGACGAUCAUUAGCUGGUCUGAGAGGAUGAUCAGCCAGACUGGGACUGAGAACGGCCCAGACUCCUACGGGAGGCAGCAGUAGGGAAUUUUCCACAAUGGGC
This 331-nucleotide ribosomal RNA is filed under the name uncultured bacterium. RNAcentral's name for it is "SSU rRNA". It matches the Rfam family "Bacterial small subunit ribosomal RNA", at positions 26 to 376 of the family's 1533-position model. The record is from RNAcentral.